This 506-nucleotide ribosomal RNA is filed under the name uncultured bacterium. RNAcentral describes it as "partial 16S ribosomal RNA". It matches the Rfam family "Bacterial small subunit ribosomal RNA", at positions 29 to 523 of the family's 1533-position model. The record is from RNAcentral.
AUUGAACGCUGGCGGCAGGCCUAACACAUGCAAGUCGGACGGUAGCACAGGGGAGCCUGCUCCUCGGGUGACGAGUGGCGGACGGGUGAGUAAUGUCUGGGGAUCUGCCCGAUAGAGGGGGAUAACCACUGGAAACGGUGGCUAAUACCGCAUAAUGUCGCAAGACCAAAGAGGGGGACCUUCGGGCCUCUCACUAUCGGGUGAACCCAGAUGGGAUUAGCUAGUAGGCAGGGUAACGGCCCACCUAGGCGACGAUCCCUAGCUGGUCUGAGAGGAUGACCAGCCACACUGGAACUGAGACACGGUCCAGACUCCUACGGGAGGCAGCAGUGGGGAAUAUUGCACAAUGGGCGCAAGCCUGAUGCAGCCAUGCCGCGUGUAUGAAGAAGGCCUUCGGGUUGUAAAGUACUUUCAGCGGGGAGGAAGGCGAUGUGGUUAAUAACCGCGUCGAUUGACGUUACCCGCAGAAGAAGCACCGGCUAACUCCGUGCCAGCCGCCGCAGUAA